This 72-nucleotide transfer RNA is filed under the name Hofstenia miamia. RNAcentral's name for it is "tRNA-Cys for anticodon GCA". It matches the Rfam family "tRNA". Rfam says of the family: Transfer RNA (tRNA) molecules are approximately 80 nucleotides in length. Their secondary structure includes four short double-helical elements and three loops (D, anti-codon, and T loops). The record is from RNAcentral. Lineage: Eukaryota; Metazoa; Xenacoelomorpha; Acoela; Hofsteniidae.
GGGUCCAUAGCUCAGUGGUAGAGCAUUUGACUGCAGAUCAAGAGAUCGCUGGUUCAACUCCGGCUGGGUCCU